UGGAACUUCUUUCCAUGGUUGUCCCGAGG
Molecule: non-coding RNA, 29 nt
Filed under: Mus musculus (house mouse)
Lineage: Eukaryota; Metazoa; Chordata; Mammalia; Rodentia; Muridae
Source: RNAcentral